UCCCCAGUGGCUCAGUGGUAAAGAAUCUGCCUGCAAUGCGGAAGACCUGGGUUUGAUCCCUGGGUUGGGAA
RNAcentral lists this transfer RNA (71 nucleotides) under Bos taurus (domestic cattle). It matches the Rfam family "tRNA". Rfam says of the family: Transfer RNA (tRNA) molecules are approximately 80 nucleotides in length. Their secondary structure includes four short double-helical elements and three loops (D, anti-codon, and T loops). The record is from Rfam by way of RNAcentral. RNAcentral also lists the same sequence under 1 other name. Lineage: Eukaryota; Metazoa; Chordata; Mammalia; Artiodactyla; Bovidae.